CCAGUUCAAUAAAUAUUGCCUACAUCUGGAGAGCUUUUCUACUUAGAUAAGGAGUAUUAUUGAGAUUCAUAAUAUGCAAUUAUCUCACUGGUUACAUUAAAUAUUCAUAUAAUAAUUAUUAGUAAACUCAGGCUCCCCCUGAAGGUGUGCAUAGUAAACUCAGGCUCCCCCGAGGAUGUGCAGAAUCUCUUUUAAGACUGUUCCAGGCUCCCCCUGUCUUGAUGAACUGAUCCCUCAAUUUAGUUGUCUUCUCAUCAACAACUCCUUAUUCUUAGUUACUUCAUAAUUAUAUCACACAUACAACUACAACGAUUAGAUCCAUUAGAUGUUCGUGAUGUUCGUCACCUUCUUCUGC
RNAcentral lists this long non-coding RNA (355 nucleotides) under Cucumis sativus (cucumber). RNAcentral's name for it is "long non-coding RNA (CSAT_LNC001438)". Lineage: Eukaryota; Viridiplantae; Streptophyta; Magnoliopsida; Cucurbitales; Cucurbitaceae. The record is from RNAcentral.